This 253-nucleotide ribosomal RNA is filed under the name uncultured bacterium. RNAcentral's name for it is "partial 16S ribosomal RNA". It matches the Rfam family "Bacterial small subunit ribosomal RNA", at positions 524 to 776 of the family's 1533-position model. The record is from RNAcentral.
GACGUAGGGCGCGAGCGUUGUCCGGAUUGAUUGGGCGUAAAGAGCUCGUAGGCGGCUCGUUGCGUCGGCUGUGAAAACCCGCGGCUUAACUGCGGGCUUGCGGUUGAUACGGGCGGGCUAGAGUUCGGUAGGGGAGACUGGAAUUCCUGGUGUAGCGGUGAAAUGCGCAGAUAUCAGGAGGAACACCAGUGGCGAAGGCGGUCGUCUGGGCAGAUACUGACGCUGAGGUGCGAAAGCGUGGGGAGCAAACAGG